CCCAUUUCCCGGCGUUUUGGCCGGCCCUCCUCGAGACGCUGUGGCCUGGUCAAAGUCUAAACAGGCUCAGUGCUCUUUGCAUCUUCCGAAAAGUAGGGAAGAAUUUUAUCCAGAGACCAAACGACAGAGCAGGUUAAAUGGCCAAACUCAGAACUGAAUAAAAGAGGAAAGAGGUAUAAGAAAUCUGCUGGACACCAGUAUUUCUCUGCUUCCUGGCUGUGGGUGCAGCGUGACUAAUUGCUUGUCCCUGCUGCCACAGCUUUGUGCCAUGAUUCCCUCCAGGGCUGGAUGGAAAGCUAUUGUUGGACUAGCUGGAUUUUCAAGCAAUGAGCCCAAAGAAGCCCUUAGAUUCCAGGUAUCUGGUCAUAGCAAUAAGAAAAGUAAGCAAAUCAUAAGUAUUCACUACUGUUUUUUUGAAAAACUGAUAUAUCAUAGUAUUUUAUAUGAAUCAGAG
Non-coding RNA from Myodes glareolus (Bank vole), 454 nucleotides. Lineage: Eukaryota; Metazoa; Chordata; Mammalia; Rodentia; Cricetidae. The record is from RefSeq and is a predicted model, not a curated record.